CCCAGCAGUUUUUUUUGUUACAUUUAGUUUUUUCUUUAUAUGAUUCUAUUUGUCCAAUAUAUCCAAUCGAGAUUUUAGUUCUGAAGAACUGUUUUGACUUUCUCUCUGCAAUCCUAAUGACCAGAAUAGAGAUGGUAGGUUCUUAUUUGAGGAUAGAUCUUGUUCUAUUAGAAAUCACUUCUCUUUUUGGGAACAACUUUUCUGUGUA
Molecule: non-coding RNA, 208 nt
Organism: Pelobates cultripes (western spadefoot toad)
Lineage: Eukaryota; Metazoa; Chordata; Amphibia; Anura; Pelobatidae
Source: the annotation of a GenBank genome assembly